RNAcentral lists this long non-coding RNA (1958 nucleotides) under Homo sapiens (human). RNAcentral describes it as "HSALNT0401283". The record is from RNAcentral. Lineage: Eukaryota; Metazoa; Chordata; Mammalia; Primates; Hominidae.
GGACGAAGGUGAGGAUGCAGUGAGAAUGAGGGCUACGGUGAGAGAGUCCUGGAUUCAAACCCUCAGCCUGUCAUCCGUGCUGGGCAGAGGAGAUGUACUCAUGCCCUCCUUUAUUCAUUCAUUACGCAAAUAUUUACAGACUACCUCCUUUGUGCCAGGCACUGUCCUAAGUGCUGGGGGUAACGUGAUGAAAAAACAAAGGAAUGUGGUUUGUGUUCUCGUGGUGCUCAGUUGAUCAAAUCAAUGCUGAAACAAGCCUGUGGGGAGAGGAAGGAGGCAGGGUUCUGCUGUGAAGGAGAAGGUUGAGGAGGAAGCAGAGAAGGUGCUGCACUAUUUCAGAAAGCAGCCACAGGCCCUGUCUGGGGCAUCCUCAGAUGUCAGCAUCUCAAGGCAGCACAGUCAAGGCAACAGACAAGAAGGCAGUGAGUUUGCCAAGCCUGGAGGGGGGUGGCUCAGGAGCACUGCAGACUCACUCUGCAGGGUGGCUGCCUCAGUGUUCCCAUCUGAAAAAGGGGAACAGGUAAGACGGCUCAGAUUAUUUCAGAGGUGCUUCUAGCAGUGACCUCCUGCCAAGCUGGCUUUUGGAAGAUGUGUUAAGUCUGCGGUUUCACAGGACACGUCGCCACUUUCUCCUCGGAAGGCAGAGAGAGCCUCAGCAUCAGAGGAGGGACACUGUGUAGCGGCCAUAUCCAAAGAUCUUGCAGAUCCUGGAGCUGAUGUUGAAGAAGGACCUGGAAGGAAGGCUCCAGGUAGAAGGCAGGUGGCGGGGCUCCAGAGACAAAGGAGGGUCAAUAAGAAGAUGGUCAUCACAGCGGUCUACACAGCAAGCAGCAGAAACAACCGGCAUGGCCAAGCAUGGUGACUCACACCUGUAAUCCGAACACUUUGGGAGGCCGAGGUAUGGUGGCAUGUGUCUGUAGUCCCAGCUACUCAGGAGGCUGAGGCAGGAGAAUUGAAGGAGGCGGAGGUUGCAGUGAGCCGAGAUCAUGCUACUGCACUACAGCCUGGGCAACAGAGUGAGACUUCAUCUCAAAAAAAAAAAAGGUCCACCUGGUGCCCCUGGCUUCAUCACCAAUGGGCUUACCAUGGCCACACGGGUCCUCUUUCAGGCCCUUGUGUCACUCUCUCCCAUGCUGACCAGCUCUGGCCACAAAGCUGCCUCUUCCAUCACUGGGAGCUCUUCCCCACCUCGGAGCUGUUCCCGUCACCUGGAUUGUCUUCCCUCCACAUUCCUGCCACCUCCUUCUGCUCAGCCUAAAGGUCACUUUCUCACAGAAGCUGUCCCUGAGCCUCAAUCUAAAUUGCAUCCCCACAAGGACACAAAGAUGUGAGCAAUAAACACUAAGGAUUCCAGAAGGGGGGAUGGAGGAGAGCAAAAGUUGAAAAACUACCUGUUGGGUACUAUAUUCACUGCUUGGGCGACGGGAUCGUUGGAAGCCCAAACCUCAGCAUCAUGCAAUACACCCGUGCAACAAACCUGCACACGUACUUUCUGAAUCUAAAAGAAUUUCUAAAAUAAAAUAAAUUGUACCCCCUUAGUUCUUUCUGAGCACCCUCUUUUUAUCUUCAUAACACCAUCAUUUGUAUUUAUGGAAUGAUUAUGCAUCAUUAUUUGGUAAAUGACCUCACCAGCUAGACUCUAAAUCAAAAAGGGCUGGGGCUGUAUCUGACAUAUUCUCAGUUGUAUCAGCAGCACCUAGCACGGCAUCUAACAUAAAUGAUACUUAUUUGUGGUUUGGCUUAAUACAAAAAAAAAAAAAAAAACUUUGGGAGGGGAGGGAAUUCAAUCAACAGACAAAAAAUAAUGCUAUGUAGGGGAAAGAGAAACAAAAUGUUCACAGGUAUUGUAUUAGUGUUGUAAGAACAUGGGCGUUCUUUUUCUUUCUUUAAUAUCACCUAUUUAAUCUCUUAUGUUCUUUUUAUGAUUAAGAAAAUAAAAAACCUUACAAAUAUUUUUG